CAGAUUGAACGCUGGCGGCAUGCUUUACACAUGCAAGUCGAACGGUAACAGGCCGCAAGGUGCUGACGAGUGGCGAACGGGUGAGUAAUGUAUCGGAACGUGCCCAGUCGUGGGGGAUAACGCAGCGAAAGCUGCGCUAAUACCGCAUACGAUCUAUGGAUGAAAGCGGGGGACCGUAAGGCCUCGCGCGAUUGGAGCGGCCGAUAUCAGAUUAGGUAGUUGGUGGGGUAAAGGCUCACCAAGCCAACGAUCUGUAGCUGGUCUGAGAGGACGACCAGCCACACUGGGACUGAGACACGGCCCAGACUCCUACGGGAGGCAGCAGUGGGGAAUUUGGACAAUGGGGGAAACCCUGAUCCAGCCAUCCGCGUGUGCGA
Molecule: ribosomal RNA, 377 nt
Filed under: uncultured soil bacterium
Lineage: Bacteria
Description: bacterial SSU rRNA
Rfam family: Bacterial small subunit ribosomal RNA
Source: RNAcentral